RNAcentral lists this transfer RNA (68 nucleotides) under Bemisia tabaci. Its description in RNAcentral is "tRNA-Leu". The record is from RNAcentral. RNAcentral also lists the same sequence under 1 other name. Lineage: Eukaryota; Metazoa; Arthropoda; Insecta; Hemiptera; Aleyrodidae.
ACUAUAUUAGCAUAUUCAAUGCUUUAAGUUUAGAACUUAAUCAAGUAGCACUAAUACUACAUUUAGUA